This 382-nucleotide unclassified non-coding RNA is filed under the name uncultured bacterium. Its description in RNAcentral is "contains 16S-23S intergenic spacer region". The record is from RNAcentral.
UCCGAGUUGACCCCGGCAGUCUCCCAUGAGUCCCCGGCAUUACCCGCUGGCAACAUGGAACGAGGGUUGCGCUCGUUGCGGGACUUAACCCAACAUCUCACGACACGAGCUGACGACAGCCAUGCAGCACCUGUGUUCCGGUUCCCUUUCGGGCACAACCGCCUUUCAGCAGCCUUCCGGACAUGUCAAGGGUAGGUAAGGUUUUUCGCGUUGCAUCGAAUUAAUCCACAUAAUCCACCGCUUGUGCGGGUCCCCGUCAAUUCCUUUGAGUUUUAGCCUUGCGGCCGUACUCCCCAGGCGGGGCGCUUAGUGCGUUAGCUGCGGCAAGGAGGACGUGGAAAGUCCCCCACACCUAGCGCCCAACGUUUACGGCGUGGACUAC